AGAGUUUGAUCAUGGCUCAGGACGAACGCUGGCGGCGUGCUUAACACAUGCAAGUCGAACGGUGCAGCAAUGCAUAGUGGCGGACGGGUGAGUAACGCGUGAGCAACCUACCUCUAUUUUGGGGAUAACAUUCAGAAAUGAGUGCUAAUACCGAAUAUUAUCAUCUUAGGGCAUCCUGAGUUGAUGAAAGGGAUUACUGAAUAGAGAUGGGCUCGCGUCCUAUUAGCUAGUUGGUAGGGUAACGGCCUACAAAGGCGACGAUAGGUAACCGACCUGAGAGGGUGAACGGUCACACUGGAACUGAGAUACGGUCCAGACUCCUACGGGAGGCAGCAGUGGGGAAUAUUGGGCAAUGGAGGCAACUCUGACCCAGCAACGCCGCGUGAAGGAUGAAGGCCUUAGGGUUGUAAACUUCUGUCGCAGAGGAAGAAGAAUGACGGUACUCUGUAAGAAAGUCACGGCAAACUACGUGCCAGCAGCCGCGGUAAUACGUAGGUGACAAGCGUUGUCCGGAAUGACUGGGCGUAAAGCGAGUGUAGGUGGCGGUGUAAGUUAUAUGUGAAAGCCCUGAGCUUAACUCAGGAACUGCAUAUAAGACUGCAUUGCUAGAGUGUGGGAGAGGUAAGUGGAAUUCCUAGUGUAGCGGUGGAAUGCGUAGAUAUUAGGAGGAACACCAGGGGCGAAGGCGGCUUACUGGAACACAACUGACACUGAGGCUCGAAAGCGUGGGGAGCAAACAGGAUUAGAUACCCCAGUAGUCC
Molecule: ribosomal RNA, 761 nt
Filed under: uncultured bacterium
Lineage: Bacteria
Description: bacterial SSU rRNA
Rfam family: Bacterial small subunit ribosomal RNA
Source: RNAcentral